UGUAUUUGCUAAACCAAAUUAAUGUUUCAUUUAAAAGAAGUUGAGCUUUAGCCUAUUUUUCAUGAAACAUGUAGGUCCCCACAUGAGGCUUGUUUAGCAUGUCAUCUGUGUGACUGGCAUAAGCUCAUAGUCUCUCCACUGAGGAAAGCUGGGAGAAGUAGUCCCAGCACUUAAUGGUGCCCCUGAGCUAAUCCUGCUGGCUCCAUGGUAAACAUGGGCCUUUUAAUAGACUGGAGACAAAGUGACAUUCGGAAGAAACAACAUGUCGACAAUUUCCUUAAUAAAUUUUGUACGAACACAUUAUUUCCACCUAAUGGAAAUGUAGCUCUCUUAAAUAAUUGAGAGGCUGUAUUCAUCAGUGGUGAGUUCAGCUGGGAUCUUUGUGAGCUAGGGCAGCCAACAACCCCUUGGAAAACAGGGUAAUUGAUAUUUUACAUAAGUGGCUUGACUAGUUUUCAGGUGGGCUCUGUGUGACAUUCCCCUGCAGUCCCCAUGCACAGCUCUCUUCUGUUGUCCAGGCUGUCACAAAGCAGCUCCACACUGAAGGUUCCAGUUGCAGCCACCGAACUGCCAAGACUAAGGGUAGUUCCUGAAAUGACUGAGCUGUUGAAGAAAAAAUGAGUCGUGAUCAUGUCUUAAGAAAGGAAAUUAUGUCAAAGUAUUCAGCUGAAAUCAUAGAAAUUCAUGGCUAUUAAUCAUUAGAAAGCAUGGAGAGCUACAUUUCAUAAUAUGAGGAAAAAUUCUAACAGAUGCCAGAAUGCUUUUUUAUGGGGAUAUUAUUAUGUUUCUUUCUAAUAAUUUGUGGUUCCAAACAAUUAUUUUUUGAAAUUUUCUAAUUCUGUAAUAAAAUAUAUAAUAAAGCCUU
Molecule: long non-coding RNA, 865 nt
Organism: Equus quagga
Lineage: Eukaryota; Metazoa; Chordata; Mammalia; Perissodactyla; Equidae
Exons: 2
Source: RefSeq, a predicted model, not a curated record